RNAcentral lists this microRNA precursor (47 nucleotides) under Theropithecus gelada (gelada). RNAcentral describes it as "miRNA (ENSTGEG00000017051.1)". Lineage: Eukaryota; Metazoa; Chordata; Mammalia; Primates; Cercopithecidae. The record is from RNAcentral.
CUCUUUGGUACUUGAAGAGAGGAUACCCUUUGUAUGUUCACUUGAUU